Oryctolagus cuniculus (rabbit) is the source of this 1576-nucleotide long non-coding RNA. Lineage: Eukaryota; Metazoa; Chordata; Mammalia; Lagomorpha; Leporidae. The record is from Ensembl.
CCCCACGCGUCUCAGUCCACACGUGGAGACCAAGGUGCCUGCAGGGGCCUGGGUACUUCUGGGGGCUUCGAGGGAGGGUCUGCCUGCAGUCUCUCCAUGGACAGUGGGCUUGGUGACCUGAGGCUUAUAAAACUCAUCACUCAGAUCACUGCUUCUUCCUGCAGCUCCCCACGGGGAGUCCUCCUGUGCCCACGUCCCCCCUCCCAUGUCCCCACUCUCCAUGUCCUCCACGUGGCAUGGUCUGAGUCAGACCCUCUGGCCAUCCUUCCACUUCUACACCUGUGCGUCCUUCCCAAAUCCGUGAUCUUCACAUCUGAAGGCUCUGGGGCCAGGCAGCUCCUCCUGUGCCUGUCUUGGCAGAAACCUAGUGGGAGCCCAGCCUAGGCCCCUCCCGCCCCCAUGUCUGCUGGGGUCCCCUCCUGUCUCCCAUGUCUGCUGAGGUCCGAGCCCAGUGGCGCCCCCUCCAGUCCCUGUGUCUGCCGAGGUGAACUCUGGUUUUCCUGGCAGAAGCUUGAUGACAGGUGGCAAGGCCCCCUGGGAUGCGCUGUCCAGCGUGUCUGGAAUUGGGGACGUCUGAGCCCUAGGACGGGUCUGGAUACGGGGCGACUGCCCUCGUCCCUUCUUUUACAGGUGGGGUGCAAGUGUGCAGGGAGGCCCAGUCCUGGUAGUCCCAGGCUGCCUUCCCGGCCCUGGCCCACUACGAAAUGUAACUCCGGACCUCAGAAUUAUAUGGAAACACCCGCUGUGCUGAAUAUGUCAAAAUUUGGACUCUGCUUCUGGGCAGGAGGGGGACUCCCAACACAAACUCCGCACUGAGCCCCACCUUGGAGCCUCCUGCACUCUGCAGGGCCAGUGCAUAGCCCCCUGCUCAUGGUGCGAGCCAGCUGACUCCUAGGCUGCUGGCCCUGCCAAGGUAAGGACAGAGGAUGCCUGUUGUACGCUGACAGCCCCUGCACUUACUUCUCGCUGUGCCAUCCUCCAGCUGGGCCGGGGAGCAUGACCACCAAUGGGCAAGAAUUAGAGAGGAGACCGGCUGAAUUGGGUCAUGGGAGGCCUGCAGGAGCUGAACACAGCACAAAAGGGGGAGGCGGCCACCAUCCUCCCGGUCAGGGACCAGGCCACCUGCUUCCCUCCCCUCCUACUGUCAUCCUGCGUGUUGUGCUUGUCAAGUGGCCAAAACGCCUGCUCCGUCUGAACCUUCUCCCUGCCCCCUGGAGCCACCUCUGGGGCCUUGAUGGCCACAGGACAAGAGGACUUGGGAAUGGAGAGUCCCCUCCCUCAGAGCUUAUUCCUGGGCUCACCCUGGAGAAGGGGAGCUGCCAAGUCCUGAUCAGCUGACCUUUGCCCUCUGGCUGUAGGGACCUCCUGCAUCCAUCAGAUGGAGCCCUGGACACCCAGAGCAGAUGGGCCUUGGCCUUGCACAAACUGAGUGAGUGAGGCUGCAGCAAAGCCUUGUGAGGGGUGCAGGGUUGGGUGGGUCCCUCGGGGGCUGUGGUUUCUCUGAGGGAGGUAGGCUGGCCUCCCGAGUGACUCUCACGGCAUGGUCUUCAGGACACAUAAAGGUUAAAAAAGCUGG